CUCACAUUUAUUUUUUGCUGUUGAUCCAAAAGAAGGCAAAACAACCCAGUUUGAAGCACAAUUUUGCAACAAGCUAAGAAAAAAAUUCCUUCUUGACUCCAGAAUGGCAGUCAGAUUUAUCAUUGGAUCAAGCAGUUAUUACCCUGCAUUGAAAGAUUAUAUUCUUGAAUAUUCUGUUUUUGCAAGUAUGCAUCUAGUAGCUGUUUGAACAUCUGUAUGGACUCAUUCCACAUCCUUAUUGUUCUUACAGUAAAAAAAC
Molecule: non-coding RNA, 259 nt
Organism: Pelobates cultripes (western spadefoot toad)
Lineage: Eukaryota; Metazoa; Chordata; Amphibia; Anura; Pelobatidae
Source: the annotation of a GenBank genome assembly